UACGGAGGGUGCAAGCGUUGUCCGGAUUUAUUGGGUUUAAAGGGUGCGUAGGCGGCCUAAUAAGUCAGUGGUGAAAGCCUCCAGCUUAACUGGAGAACUGCCAUUGAUACUGUUAGGCUUGAGUAUACUUGAGGUAGGCGGAAUUGACAGUGUAGCGGAUGAAAUGCAUAGAUAUUGUCAAGAACACCAAUUGCGAAGGCAGCUUACUAAAUUAUAACUGACGCUGAGGCAC
Molecule: ribosomal RNA, 232 nt
Filed under: uncultured bacterium
Lineage: Bacteria
Description: partial 16S ribosomal RNA
Rfam family: Bacterial small subunit ribosomal RNA
Source: RNAcentral